AUGGUGCAAUCAAAUGAGUUGAUGGUGGCCAAGACAUUGGAGGGAGAGAAGGAGUUGGCCGACAAGAAGGCGCAAGAGAAGCAAGAGAAGUGGCAAUUACUCAAGGAAGAGGGGUUGCGCAAGACCGCCAUUGAGGAGAGAAGAGCCCUUGCCGAGGAGAACAAGGCCUUGGCUAAGCUUCUUCAAGAGGAGAACAAGAUCAUGACGAUGAACCGCAAUGACAUGGACGACAUCACCAAAGAAUGGCAUGAUAUUGCAAGGAGGGAGAUCUUGGAGAGAAGGAAGCAAGCGGCGACGGGUGGUGGAGAGUGA
This 312-nucleotide ribosomal RNA is filed under the name Triticum aestivum (bread wheat). RNAcentral's name for it is "partial small subunit ribosomal RNA". The record is from RNAcentral. Lineage: Eukaryota; Viridiplantae; Streptophyta; Magnoliopsida; Poales; Poaceae.